CCGAGUGAGGGCCUCCGGGCCCGACCUCCAACCCUUUGUGAACACACCCGUUGCUUCGGGGGCGACCCUGCCGUUUUCGACGGCGAGCGCCCCCGGAGGUCCUCCAACACUGCAUCUUUGCGUCGGAGUUUUAAGGAAAUGAAACA
Molecule: unclassified non-coding RNA, 146 nt
Filed under: soil metagenome
Description: partial internal transcribed spacer 1
Source: RNAcentral